AAGGAUCAUUAACGAAUUAUCUUCGGCUGAUGCGCCUUUGGGCUGCACGUCGAACAAUUCCAUCCACACACACCGUGCACUUUGGGAUGCGGCUACGGCCGCUCCUCCUUUUCCACACACGAGUCCUAGAAUGUACGAAAUUCAUAACAACGAAACAACUUUCAACAACGGAUCUCUUGGCUCUCGCAUCGAUGAAGAACGCAGCGAAAUGCGAUAAGUAAUGUGAAUUGCAGAAUUCAGUGAAUCAUCGAAUCUUUGAACGCACCUUGCGCUCCUUGGUAUUCCGAGGAGCAUGCCUGUUUGAGCGUCACGUGAAACAUCUUUCCUGUGGCUUUUGUCGCAGGAGGGGAUUUGGACUCUGCCGUCGCCGGCUCGUCCUGAAAUGCAUUAGCUCGGUUCAAGCGACCGUCUCGGUGUGAUUAGACAUCUACGCCUUGGCCUAGCCGACGGGCUCACAAAACCCACGUAACAUUUUAACGCUCUGGCCUCAAAUCAGGCAGGACUACCCGCUGAACUUAA
RNAcentral lists this ribosomal RNA (519 nucleotides) under Pseudohydnum sp. GO-2009-433. Its description in RNAcentral is "eukaryotic LSU rRNA". The stretch from base 157 to 310 matches the Rfam family "5.8S ribosomal RNA". Lineage: Eukaryota; Fungi; Basidiomycota; Agaricomycetes; Auriculariales. The record is from RNAcentral.